ACGGGUGAGUAACGCGUGGGUAACCUGCCUCAUACAGGGGGAUAACAGUUAGAAAUGACUGCUAACACCGCAUAAUAUAGUGGAACCGCAUGAUUUUGCUAUCAAAUAUUUAUAGGUAUGAGAUGGGCCCGCGUCUGAUUAGCUAGUUGGUGGGGUAAAAGCCUACCAAGGCGACGAUCAGUAGCCGGCUUGAGAGAGUGACCGGCCACAUUGGGACUGAGACACGGCCCAAACUCCUACGGGAGGCGGCAGUGGGGAAUAUUGGACAAUGGGGGAAACCCUGAUCCAGCGACGCCCGCGUGAGUGAAGAAGUAUUUCGGUAUGUAAAGCUCUAUCAGCAGGGAAGAUAAUGACAGUACCUGACUAAGAAGCCCCGGCUAACUACGUGCCAGCAGCUGC
RNAcentral lists this ribosomal RNA (399 nucleotides) under uncultured bacterium. Its description in RNAcentral is "bacterial SSU rRNA". It matches the Rfam family "Bacterial small subunit ribosomal RNA", at positions 102 to 518 of the family's 1533-position model. The record is from RNAcentral.